RNAcentral lists this ribosomal RNA (318 nucleotides) under uncultured eukaryote. RNAcentral's name for it is "partial 18S ribosomal RNA". It matches the Rfam family "Eukaryotic small subunit ribosomal RNA", at positions 1470 to 1796 of the family's 1831-position model. The record is from RNAcentral.
CCCUUAGAUGUCCUGGGCCGCACGCGUGCUACACUGGUGCAUACAGCGAGUACUUUCCAGCUCCGCGAGGCAGCUGGUAAUCAGCAAUAUGCAUCGUGCUGGGGAUAGAUCUUUGGAAUUAUAGAUCUUGAACGAGGAAUUCCUAGUAAGCGCAAGUCAUUAGCUUGCGCUGAUUAAGUCCCUGCCCUUUGUACACACCGCCCGUCGCUCCUACCGAUUUCGAGUGAUUCGGUGAACCUUUUGGACAGCGUCUGUCCUCGUGUCAGAUGCUGAAAGUCAAGUAAACCAUAUCACUUAGAGGAAGGAGAAGUCGUAACA